Non-coding RNA from Parelaphostrongylus tenuis, 71 nucleotides. The record is from the annotation of a GenBank genome assembly. NCBI's taxonomy places the organism in Eukaryota, Metazoa, Nematoda, Chromadorea, Rhabditida, Metastrongylidae.
GCCUCGGUGGUGCAUUGGUAGCACGCGCACCCUGUAUGAAUGAAACACGGGUUUAACUCCCGUCUGAGGUA